Molecule: ribosomal RNA, 253 nt
Filed under: uncultured bacterium
Lineage: Bacteria
Description: partial 16S ribosomal RNA
Rfam family: Bacterial small subunit ribosomal RNA
Source: RNAcentral
UACGGAGGGUGCAAGCGUUAUCCGGAUUCACUGGGUUUAAAGGGUGCGUAGGUGGGCUUGUAAGUCAGUGGUGAAAUCUCCGGGCUUAACCCGGAAACUGCCAUUGAUACUAUAGGUCUUGAAUUAUCUGGAGGUCAGCGGAAUAUGUCAUGUAGCGGUGAAAUGCUUAGAUAUGACAUAGAACACCAAUUGCGAAGGCAGCUGGCUACAGGUAUAUUGACACUGAGGCACGAAAGCGUGGGGAGCAAACAGG